Molecule: ribosomal RNA, 433 nt
Filed under: uncultured bacterium
Lineage: Bacteria
Description: bacterial SSU rRNA
Rfam family: Bacterial small subunit ribosomal RNA
Source: RNAcentral
UCGAGAAUCUUCGGCAAUGGGCGAAAGCCUGACCGAGCGAUGCCGCGUGCGGGAUGAAGGCCUUCGGGUUGUAAACCGCUGUCGUAGGGGAGAAAGGGUCGUUGAAGAAACGACUUUGAUCUAUCCUAGGAGGAAGUCCGGGCUAAGUUCGUGCCAGCAGCCGCGGUAACACGAACCGGACAAACGUUAUUCGGAAUUACUGGGCUUAAAGGGUGCGUAGGCGGUGCGGUAAGUGCGGUGUGAAAUCCCACGGCUCAACCGUGGAAUUGCGCUGCAUACUGCCGUGCUAGAGGGAGACAGGGGUAAGCGGAACUGAUGGUGGAGCGGUGAAAUGCGUUGAUAUCAUCAGGAACACCGGUGGCGAAAGCGGCUUACUGGGUCUCUUCUGACGCUGAGGCACGAAAGCUAGGGUAGCGAACGGGAUUAGAUACCC